AUACGGAGGAUCCGAGCGUUAUCCGGAUUUAUUGGGUUUAAAGGGUGCGCAGGCGGGAGAUUAAGUCGGCGGUGAAAUUUUGCAGCUCAACUGUAAAAGUGCCUUCGAAACUGGGUUUCUUUUGUGGAGAUGUAGUAGGCGGAAAUUGUGGUGUAGCGGUGAAAUGCAUAGAUAUCACGAGGAACUCCGAUUGCGCAGGCAGCUUACUAAACUACUACUGACGCUCAGGCACGAAGGCGUGGGGAUCAAACAGGAUUAGAUACCCUGGUAGUCCACGCAGUAAACGAUGAUUACUAGCUGUUUGCGAUACAAUGUAAGCGGCUGAGCGAAAGCGUUAAGUAAUCCACCUGGGGAGUACGUUCGCAAGAAUGAAACUCAAAGGAAUUGACGGGG
This 393-nucleotide ribosomal RNA is filed under the name uncultured bacterium. RNAcentral's name for it is "partial 16S ribosomal RNA". It matches the Rfam family "Bacterial small subunit ribosomal RNA", at positions 523 to 918 of the family's 1533-position model. The record is from RNAcentral.